UGCGGCAUAUCGAUUGGAGUCUGCGCGCUGCAUGCCUGGCGGACGUUGCACCCCCUGCAACAGCGCGUCAGUGCCGCAGUGCGCCGCCGACCUUCGAGCUGAUCGUCACGUUUUACCGGACCUCCUCAUCCACCUCCUAAGAUCCUAACUGCCUGAAAGAUGUAGCUUCAAAGCCUCGCUUCGCCUCUACGACAACGUGGCAGGCAGAAUGACUGAAGCUGAUCUUUCACCGCAGCAUGAGAUCUUCGCCUUCAGUUCUUGCUGAAGGCAGUUCCAUCUUCGAAGGUCACUCUACUUCCUGCCGAUUCACCACCUCUCCGGCAACUAUGCUUCGCUAUCUACAUGGUCAAAUCAGCUUUCCCAGAUUACUUACUUUGUACAAAAAUAGGUGAUCUCCGAAAGCUGAAUGGACUUUGUGGUCAAUGCGAAAAUGGCGGCGGUCACUCAAGCUAAAUGUGUAACCCAUCGAAUCACGCUUGAAGAUAGCAGGAGGCUUAUAGCAUCACUUGUCCAUUACAAGUGGUGUUAUAAGCUUUAUGGUCAUUCAAAGCCUGGUUCGAUUCAUUAUUUAUGACAUUUUCGUAUUACUGGAAAAUGUCAUAAGUAAUUCCUUCCUGACUAAUACGAACGUUCUUAGAAACGUUAUAAUUUCCACCGAAUCCCGAAUCUCUACGCCUGGGUAACGACAAAUAUUUGCUGUAAAGCAACCUAUGUGCAAUUAAUUGCUGAAAUAACUUAACAGCCAAAUAACACCAUUAUCUUUCUUGGAUGGAUCGGCUGGAUAAAUUUAAGUAUAGUUAUAUAUCCCAGGCGCGAAUACAGGGGGAGGGCACUUACCCUUCCUCCAGAAUAGACAGUGCUUUAUUCUGGAUUUCUUCUUAAACAAGAAGCUUGUAUUCGUGCCUCAAUUAGCUCGUAAGUUAGUUAUAAGUGUUAUUGGGAAUAUCUCUGGUGUAAAUCUCAUGAAUUAGUUUUAAGACUUACAUGUAACUAACGAACAUGUGGAAAAUGAAAGCACGAUUACAUCACCUAAAUAUAAUAAUA
Molecule: long non-coding RNA, 1044 nt
Organism: Spodoptera frugiperda (fall armyworm)
Lineage: Eukaryota; Metazoa; Arthropoda; Insecta; Lepidoptera; Noctuidae
Exons: 3
Source: RefSeq, a predicted model, not a curated record